GUUGACCUCGGAUCAGGUAGGAAUACCCGCUGAACUUAAGCAUAUCAUAAAGCGGGGAAGGAAAUUUUUUUUUUGAUUUUUUGGGUACUUGUGUGAUGAUGUAUAUAUAUAGUUUGUUUUUUGUUCUCCAGGGGGGGGGAGGGAGGGGAAACGCAUAGGAAGA
Molecule: ribosomal RNA, 163 nt
Filed under: Trichoderma harzianum
Lineage: Eukaryota; Fungi; Ascomycota; Sordariomycetes; Hypocreales; Hypocreaceae
Description: partial 28S ribosomal RNA
Source: RNAcentral